RNAcentral lists this unclassified non-coding RNA (233 nucleotides) under Hevea brasiliensis (rubber tree). Lineage: Eukaryota; Viridiplantae; Streptophyta; Magnoliopsida; Malpighiales; Euphorbiaceae. The record is from RNAcentral.
CUCAUUUGUCAGAAGGAAGGCAAGGAAAUGUUGCUAAUGUUUCUUCUGCUGCCACUUCUAAUGGUAAUGCAGUUUCAGCAUCAGCUAGAGGCUCCCCCCUUUCUNNNNNNNNNNNGUCAUGGUGGUGAAUAAAAGGUAGAUAGUGGAGCUGCCAAAUCUGUGGUAAAAGAUGAUGCCACUGAAGUUGCUGAUGUUCACAAGCCCCCUUCUCGACUUCUUCACUCUCCCCGGCA